CUGACAUAACCGUACUCAAUACAAGCAUAUGCAGACAACCACAUCAAAGUUAGUUUUUCAAUGCAGAAGGGAAGCGACAUACAUAUCAUAUAUAUUAAAUAAGAACGUUUAAAUUCUAUUAUCCUGAUAUAAGCCAAAUGAAAUAAAUGAUCCUAUAGUGAUACCAGUUAUUCCAAAAAUGGCAGGACAGCUAUAGGAUCGGACAAAUUUUCUGUGCGUGAAGCCAAGUCUUAGACUUCAAAAAGAGCAUUCCUCGCCAGGCCAAACACAUAUAAAG
Molecule: unclassified non-coding RNA, 277 nt
Filed under: Hevea brasiliensis (rubber tree)
Lineage: Eukaryota; Viridiplantae; Streptophyta; Magnoliopsida; Malpighiales; Euphorbiaceae
Source: RNAcentral